ACCCGCUGAACUUAAGCAUAUCAAUAAGCGGAGGAAAAGAAACCAACAGGGAUUGCCCUAGUAACGGCGAGUGAAGCGGCAACAGCUCAAAUUUGAAAUCUGGCGUCUUUGGCGUCCGAGUUGUAAUUUGCAGAGGGCGCUUUGGCAUUGGCAGCGGUCCAAGUUCCUUGGAACAGGACGUCACAGAGGGUGAGAAUCCCGUACGUGGUCGCUAGCCUUUACCGUGUAAAGCCCCUUCGACGAGUCGAGUUGUUUGGGAAUGCAGCUCUAAAUGGGAGGUAAAUUUCUUCUAAAGCUAAAUACUGGCCAGAGACCGAUAGCGCACAAGUAGAGUGAUCGAAAGAUGAAAAGCACUUUGGAAAGAGAGUCAAAAAGCACGUGAAAUUGUUGAAAGGGAAGCGCUUGCAGCCAGACUUGCCUGUAGUUGCUCAUCCGGGCUCUUGCCCGGUGCACUCUUCUGCGGGCAGGCCAGCAUCAGUCCGGGCGGUUGGAUAAAUGCCUGCUAAAUGUACCUCUCCUCGGGGAGGACUUAUAGGGCAGGCGGCAUACAACCAGCCUGGACUGAGGUCCGCGCAUCUGCUAGGAUGCUGGCGUAAUGGCUGU
RNAcentral lists this ribosomal RNA (603 nucleotides) under uncultured fungus. RNAcentral describes it as "eukaryotic LSU rRNA". It matches the Rfam family "Eukaryotic large subunit ribosomal RNA", at positions 23 to 641 of the family's 3401-position model. The record is from RNAcentral. Lineage: Eukaryota; Fungi.